RNAcentral lists this transfer RNA (75 nucleotides) under Myxococcota bacterium. RNAcentral describes it as "tRNA-Thr". It matches the Rfam family "tRNA". From Rfam's summary of the family: Transfer RNA (tRNA) molecules are approximately 80 nucleotides in length. Their secondary structure includes four short double-helical elements and three loops (D, anti-codon, and T loops). Lineage: Bacteria; Pseudomonadati; Myxococcota. The record is from RNAcentral.
GCCAGUGUAGCUCAGUGGUAGAGCAGCUCAUUCGUAAUGAGCAGGUCGUCGGUUCGACCCCGACCACUGGCUCCA